Long non-coding RNA from Xyrauchen texanus (razorback sucker), 1125 nucleotides. RefSeq lists it as uncharacterized. The transcript is spliced from 5 exons. NCBI's taxonomy places the organism in Eukaryota, Metazoa, Chordata, Actinopteri, Cypriniformes, Catostomidae. The record is from RefSeq and is a predicted model, not a curated record.
UUUAGCUGCUGCUACUACAAUCCAAUAUAAUUUUUAUUUUAUGAGCUGCUGUUUCUACAAAUACUUAAUAUGAUAAGUCCAUCAUAUAUAUAAUCAGUUUCAUAUUCAUAUUUAUUGGGUUUCGAAGAUUUAAUUCCAGGAUGAAAAUAUAAAUAUGUUUUCUACUAUUCCUCUUGUGUUUUCAACGCAUUUUCGGCGCAUGCGCUGUAUCAUUCAGUACACCGCGGGCGCGGGAAGACGAUGAACUUCACUUCUCUCACAUCAUGUGCGACUGCGACGUUGUUGCAACGACAUUAGUUGGUGUAUGCUUAUUUUGAGGACCUACACCCAAGGAGUGGAAGUAUUUUGGCAGAGUUUGGCUGUAUAUCUGGCAAAAAUCUGCAAACCGAAUUCUUUCAAGAACUGGACAGAUUCACUCCACACUUCAUUGAUAUUUUCAAGGCCAAAGGGGGAGACAUUAGUUGUAAACCUAAGAGGAUAUUGCAACAGAUUGAAAAUGAAAAAUCCAAUAUCAAUGGAAGAAGAACAGCUGUUCUACAUGGCCUUCCACUUCUUGGAGAGGACCCCACAGAUUUUUACAAGACAUGUUCUGGAAGACGAUGAAGAGAAAUCAGGCAUUUCAAUCGGCAUACUGACAGUUAUUCCUGAGGACUCUCAAGCUGUACCAUACUCACUGCAUCUUGACGCCACAUCCACUGCAAUCAUUUUGGAAGGUACCAUUGUAGUGGAUAACGUGGACAAUCUUCCCUAAGCCAUGUGUCUGCUCUUUGGGCUCAUUUAUGCCCUGUAUUUAGAGGAUCUUCCAGCACUGAAGAACACCUUUGAUUUUGUUCAAAGGGCGAUUUUGUCAAUUGGGCACAAGUCUCUCAAACCUAAAAUACAAUCCCUGAAAUUUCUGUCUGAUGCAGUAGCAUUAUUGGGGUAUGAUGGAGCAUUUUUCAGUGUAAUUGUUCAUGAUUGACCAUUAUUGAGUUAAAAAAUGGCAUAUCACCACUGAAAUAUAUAUUUUGUUUCCUGUUGAAAAACUGAAAGUUUGCUUAAUGUUUUUGGGGUUAGUUUGCCCAAAAAUUUAAUUAUCCCAUAAUUUGCUCACCAUCAAGCCAAGAGCAAACACAAUCAGAGUAU